UGUUGAUAGAGUAAGGUUGCAGGAAGGUAGUACAGGGGCUACAGAAGGAGUAAGCAGGACUAUCUGAAUGUAGUGAUUUCAAGAAAGGGUGAUCUCUAUACUUCCCAGGCCCUGCAGGAAAAGGGGCCCCACAAUGGAACCCCAGACUGGCAGUGGGCUGAGUGGGGCCAGCGGCCAGGUCCUGGGCUUGCAGGGGGCCUGGCGGUUGGAACCCCAGACCAGCAGCGAGACAUACCUUCCAUACCUUCAGGCCAGAGGAAGCUGGAUUGGGGGAGAGCAGUUCAGGCCCCUACUGAAGGCACCUGGUACGCUACAAGGAGCUGGAAAAGUCACAAGGAGGUUCUAUGCUGCCUCUCUUAGAUUAGACCCUGCUACAGGACUGCCCAUAUCUAGCAAAGGGACGGGAAGCAAAAUGCAGCUGAAGCCAGAAAGUACUAGAAAUCUUAUGAGACUCCUGAACAGUGAAAAUGUGGUACUGCUUCUAAUAUAAGCAGACCAUCUGCAGAGGAGAAAUGUAGUCCAAGAACUUCUAUCCAUGCUCUACUCCUCUCCAGAGCUGCCCAGCUCAGAUUUCACUGAAGGAUUUAUAGCGCAAACCAGCUCUGAAGUUGGAAUUGAUGCUGUCUUCAUUCAAGAGUUUGAGGGAGGAAGAGUACGAUUUUCUCUAUUUGCCAAAAAUUGUUUGGGAGAAUGAAAGCAGCCUCUCAUUCAAAAUAAAUGUUUGGAAACAAAAUGAGCUCUACAUCCUAAUGUAGUCUUUCUGAAAUUUUCUAAAAUUGAAAGAUUAAUAUUCUAUGAGAGAACUAUUAAUGCUUGCAUAAAAAUAUCAAUGUUUGUUUGUGGGCUAUGAUAGAAUAAAGAUGUUGACAAUACUUUCAUUAUCCCCUCGUGCCAGCAGUCAUUUAUGGAUCCUCCCCCUAUCAAC
Chelonia mydas (Green sea turtle) is the source of this 925-nucleotide long non-coding RNA. RefSeq lists it as uncharacterized. NCBI's taxonomy places the organism in Eukaryota, Metazoa, Chordata, Testudines, Cheloniidae. The transcript has 4 exons. The record is from RefSeq and is a predicted model, not a curated record.